Molecule: ribosomal RNA, 235 nt
Filed under: Plectosphaerella cucumerina
Lineage: Eukaryota; Fungi; Ascomycota; Sordariomycetes; Glomerellales; Plectosphaerellaceae
Description: partial large subunit ribosomal RNA
Rfam family: Eukaryotic large subunit ribosomal RNA
Source: RNAcentral
ACAGCUCAAAUUUGAAAUCUGGCUCCUUCGGGGCCCGAGUUGUAAUUUGCAGAGGAUGCGUCGGGUACGGGUGCCUUCCGAGUUCCCUGGAACGGGACGCCAUAGAGGGUGAGAGCCCCGUCUGGUAGGACACCCAGCCCGUGUGACGCUCCCUCGACGAGUCGAGUAGUUUGGGAAUGCUGCUCUAACGGGAGGUAUACUCCUUCCAAGGCUAAAUACCGGCUGGAGACCGAUA